GCGCAGCAGUCGAGAAUCUUUUGCAAUGCCCGAAAGGGUGACAAUGCGACGCCGCGUGAGCGAUGAAGGCCUUCGGGUUGUAAAGCUCUGUCAGCUCGGAUGAAAGCAGGGGAGCCAAUACCUUUUCUGUCUGACGGUACGAGCAGAGGAAGCUACGGCUAACUCCGUGCCAGCAGCCGCGGUAAUACGGAGGUGGCAAGCGUUGUUCGGAUUUACUGGGUGUAAAGGUCAUGUAGGCGUCUUACUAAGUCGGAUGUGAAUCCCCUGGCUCAACCAGGGAACUGCAUUCGAUGCUGGUUAGAUUGAGUACGGGAGAGGAAG
RNAcentral lists this ribosomal RNA (321 nucleotides) under uncultured microorganism. RNAcentral's name for it is "bacterial SSU rRNA". It matches the Rfam family "Bacterial small subunit ribosomal RNA", at positions 346 to 660 of the family's 1533-position model. The record is from RNAcentral.